Molecule: long non-coding RNA, 905 nt
Organism: Zonotrichia albicollis (white-throated sparrow)
Lineage: Eukaryota; Metazoa; Chordata; Aves; Passeriformes; Passerellidae
Source: RefSeq, a predicted model, not a curated record
UCACAUCAGCUGGAUAUCAGAGGCAUCUAUGUACAAAUACCAUGAUGGUUUAGGACUGUCUGUGAAAACCAGAAGCCAGCCUAGAUCCCUGGAGCACACGAGCCUUACUGAUAAUGAAACUCUUGGUUCUGUCUCAUUGAGCUCCCUGAUUUGUCUGCUUUUCCAUCUCCUGAGACACCUGCCACCCUAGUUCUUAGGCAUGGGGAAUUAACACAGCAUUAUUGUCCAAAGAGACAGCAAGACGUCCUCUCUUUUGUGAAUCACUGGCAUGUGCUCCUCAUGGCUGUUUUUGCUUCUUCCCUUUCUCCUACAUGAUGCAGCCAGGAAAGGAGGACACAUAAAUCACCUUUUCUGUGGCAUAUAGACAACACUGCAGACCAGCCUAACAUGAUCCAGGACAAAGGGCAGUUUCAUAAAGAGUUCAAGAAAAAUUUGGAGCCAUAAUUCUAAGGACAGCAGCUGUCCCAUACAGGCUUGAAGCUAUCCUCAUCUUGAGUACGUGGCUUGAUGAUCUUCUUCUGGCAGGAGGCAGUAGGAGUUUUUGGGAAAAACAAAUUGAAUGGGCAAGUUUAAAACACAUUUUAAAACACCCCUAAUUUUCCUUUAUUAUUGUUUGUUUUGUGGUACCUAUUUCUGUUUGUUUUUGUUUUUUUUUCAAAAUUCAUUAUUUUUCAGAUAAGUGCAGUCUCUGGAUAUAGUAGGAAAAAGCCUCAGUCUCAUUCCUGGUCUAGCAGAACUCCCCGAUUUUUUCACUGAAAAAUGUUUAAUGUCACUGCUUCUCCCAGUCCAGCAUCACUGAGUUAAUCUGCUAAGUCAUUUGGGAACAAAGGAAAAAAAGGUGAAAGCAUGAAAUUUUAAACUAUUAAGUGAGGCUUUAACUGUAUCCUUUAUUACCCCUUUAGCUG